Molecule: ribosomal RNA, 627 nt
Filed under: uncultured Pseudomonadota bacterium
Lineage: Bacteria; Pseudomonadati; Pseudomonadota
Description: bacterial SSU rRNA
Rfam family: Bacterial small subunit ribosomal RNA
Source: RNAcentral
CCUUGAUUCAGCGGCGGACGGGUGAGUAAUGCCUAGGAAUCUGCCUGGUAGUGGGGGACAACGUUUCGAAAGGAACGCUAAUACCGCAUACGUCCUACGGGAGAAAGCAGGGGACCUUCGGGCCUUGCGCUAUCAGAUGAGCCUAGGUCGGAUUAGCUAGUUGGUGGGGUAAUGGCUCACCAAGGCGACGAUCCGUAACUGGUCUGAGAGGAUGAUCAGUCACACUGGAACUGAGACACGGUCCAGACUCCUACGGGAGGCAGCAGUGGGGAAUAUUGGACAAUGGGCGAAAGCCUGAUCCAGCCAUGCCGCGUGUGUGAAGAAGGUCUUCGGAUUGUAAAGCACUUUAAGUUGGGAGGAAGGGCAGUAAGUUAAUACCUUGCUGUUUUGACGUUACCGACAGAAUAAGCACCGGCUAACUCUGUGCCAGCAGCCGCGGUAAUACAGAGGGUGCAAGCGUUAAUCGGAAUUACUGGGCGUAAAGCGCGCGUAGGUGGUUUGUUAAGUUGGAUGUGAAAGCCCCGGGCUCAACCUGGGAACUGCAUCCAAAACUGGCAAGCUAGAGUACGGUAGAGGGUGGUGGAAUUUCCUGUGUAGCGGUGAAAUGCGUAGAUAUAGGAAGGAACA